GCAACAACCGUGCCUAGCAUUGUUAUGUCAUCUCCACAUGUUCACCUCCCUCAGACCCAGUUGACUCUCUCUUGAUGACAAGGUUUCCGAACCCCUAGGUUCCAUCAAGAAGUAUAGAGAAAAGGCUUCUCAUUUGAAAGUGCCAUUAGCUUUUUAAUACCUUUCACUCGAGCUAAUAAAACGUGCCCCGUAAUGAGCCUUGAGAGGUAAUCGUGGGUUCCACCGUCGCCCCAAGGCCCCUUUUCCAAAGCCUUGG
Molecule: long non-coding RNA, 256 nt
Filed under: Elaeis guineensis (African oil palm)
Lineage: Eukaryota; Viridiplantae; Streptophyta; Magnoliopsida; Arecales; Arecaceae
Description: long non-coding RNA (EGUI_LNC050509)
Source: RNAcentral